GGGGCGUGCGGCGACUGAGCUUAGGCUAGGGUUUUCUGUUUUUUUCAUUUGUUUUGGGCUAGGGUUUGUAAUGGGUUAUUGGGUUUGAAUUGGGUAUUGGGCUAAUGGAUUUGUUGGCCUGUUUAUUGGUUUUGGGUCAUUGUAAUUCUGGACUGGACAUUAAUUUUAUUUUGGUUUUUAUUUGGUUUUAUUUUUUAUCUUCGGUGUUAUUGAUUUAAUUGGGCCCGAGCAAAUUUGACCAAUUACAAUACAAUUAUUGUUUUACAUAUUUUUAAACAAAUAUUUUUUACUUAAAAUAUCCAUAUACAUUUUUUU
This 315-nucleotide long non-coding RNA is filed under the name Gossypium raimondii (Peruvian cotton). RNAcentral describes it as "long non-coding RNA (GRAI_LNC007599)". Lineage: Eukaryota; Viridiplantae; Streptophyta; Magnoliopsida; Malvales; Malvaceae. The record is from RNAcentral.